This 254-nucleotide ribosomal RNA is filed under the name uncultured bacterium. RNAcentral describes it as "partial 16S ribosomal RNA". It matches the Rfam family "Bacterial small subunit ribosomal RNA", at positions 524 to 776 of the family's 1533-position model. The record is from RNAcentral.
UACGGGGGGGGCAAGCGUUGUUCGGAAUUACUGGGCGUAAAGGGCUCGUAGGCGGCCAACUAAGUCAGACGUGAAAUCCCUCGGCUUAACCGGGGAACUGCGUCUGAUACUGGAUGGCUUGAGGUUGGGGAGAGGGAUGCGGAAUUCCAGGUGUAGCGGUGAAAUGCGUAGAGAUCUGGAGGAAUACCGAUGGCGAAGGCAGCCAUCUGGCCUAACACUGACGCUGAGGUGCGAAAGCGUGGGGAGCAAACAGG